GAACUACUUCCUCCGUCCGAAAAUACUUGUCAUCAAAAUGAAUAAAAAUGAAUUUAUCUAAAACUAAAAUAUGUCUAGAUACAUCUCCUUUUAUCCAUUUUGAUGACAAGUGUUUUCGGACGAAGGGAGUAGUUG
Triticum aestivum (bread wheat) is the source of this 135-nucleotide non-coding RNA. The record is from Rfam. NCBI's taxonomy places the organism in Eukaryota, Viridiplantae, Streptophyta, Magnoliopsida, Poales, Poaceae.